This 481-nucleotide ribosomal RNA is filed under the name uncultured bacterium. Its description in RNAcentral is "bacterial SSU rRNA". It matches the Rfam family "Bacterial small subunit ribosomal RNA", at positions 30 to 507 of the family's 1533-position model. The record is from RNAcentral.
CUGAACGCUGGCGGUAUGCUUAACACAUGCAAGUCGAACGGUAACAGGUCUUCGGAUGCUGACGAGUGGCGAACGGGUGAGUAAUACAUCGGAACGUGCCCGAUCGUGGGGGAUAACGCAGCGAAAGCUGUGCUAAUACCGCAUACGAUCUACGGAUGAAAGCGGGGGAUCGCAAGACCUCGCGCGGACGGAGCGGCCGAUGGCAGAUUAGGUAGUUGGUGGGAUAAAAGCUUACCAAGCCGACGAUCUGUAGCUGGUCUGAGAGGACGACCAGCCACACUGGGACUGAGACACGGCCCAGACUCCUACGGGAGGCAGCAGUGGGGAAUUUUGGACAAUGGGCGCAAGCCUGAUCCAGCCAUGCCGCGUGCAGGAUGAAGGCCUUCGGGUUGUAAACUGCUUUUGUACGGAACGAAGAAGUUCUCUCUAAUACAGGGGGCGAAUGACGGUACCGUAAGAAUAAGCACCGGCUAACUACGUG